Molecule: non-coding RNA, 78 nt
Organism: Potamilus streckersoni
Lineage: Eukaryota; Metazoa; Mollusca; Bivalvia; Unionida; Unionidae
Source: the annotation of a GenBank genome assembly
GACUAAUCCGAUGGCCAAUGUGAUUAGGGCAUCCACCUCGGAUUGUGGAGAUCACGGGUUCGAACCCCGUUCGAGACA